This 452-nucleotide ribosomal RNA is filed under the name uncultured bacterium. RNAcentral's name for it is "partial 16S ribosomal RNA". It matches the Rfam family "Bacterial small subunit ribosomal RNA", at positions 29 to 523 of the family's 1533-position model. The record is from RNAcentral.
AGCGAACGCUGGCGGCAGGCUUAACACAUGCAAGUCGAGCGGGCAUAGCAAUAUGUCAGCGGCAGACGGGUGAGUAACGCGUGGGAACGUACCUUUUGGUUCGGAACAACACAGGGAAACUUGUGCUAAUACCGGAUAAGCCCUUACGGGGAAAGAUUUAUAGCCGAAAGAUCGGCCCGCGUCUGAUUAGCUAGUUGGUGAGGUAAUGGCUCACCAAGGCGACGAUCAGUACGCUGGUCUGAGAGGAUGAUCAGCCACAUUGGGACUGAGACACGGCCCAAACUCCUACGGGAGGCAGCAGUGGGGAAUAUUGGACAAUGGGCGCAAGCCUGAUCCAGCCAUGCCGCGUGAGUGAUGAAGGCCCUAGGGUUGUAAAGCUCUUUUGUGCGGGAAGAUAAUGACGGUACCGCAAGAAUAAGCCCCGGCUAACUUCGUGCCAGCCGCCGCCGUAA